This is a long non-coding RNA of Amblyraja radiata (thorny skate), 126 nucleotides long. RefSeq lists it as uncharacterized. The transcript has 3 exons. NCBI's taxonomy places the organism in Eukaryota, Metazoa, Chordata, Chondrichthyes, Rajiformes, Rajidae. The record is from RefSeq and is a predicted model, not a curated record.
GCGGCAAUCUUUUGUACAAAUGAAAUAUUGACUAGGAAUAUAGUCACCCCAGAUAUGAAAGUAAAAGUCUGUACAUUCACUGGCAUUUCUUUUUCCCAGCCCUAGUCAACAAAUCGGGAGAGCACA